This 261-nucleotide ribosomal RNA is filed under the name uncultured bacterium. RNAcentral's name for it is "partial 16S ribosomal RNA". It matches the Rfam family "Bacterial small subunit ribosomal RNA", at positions 793 to 1055 of the family's 1533-position model. The record is from RNAcentral.
GUCCACGCCGUAAACGUUGGGCACUAGGUGUGGGCCUCAACCAACGAGGUCCGUGCCGUCGCUAACGCAUUAAGUGCCCCGCCUGGGGAGUACGGCCGCAAGGCUAAAACUCAAAGGAAUUGACGGGGCCCGCACAAGCAGCGGAGCGUGUUGCUUAAUUCGAUGCAACGCGAAGAACCUUACCUGGGUUUGACAUGUAGGGAAAAGCCGUAGAGAUACGGUGUCCUUCGGGGCCUUACACAGGUGGUGCAUGGCUGUCGU